Molecule: ribosomal RNA, 489 nt
Filed under: uncultured bacterium
Lineage: Bacteria
Description: bacterial SSU rRNA
Rfam family: Bacterial small subunit ribosomal RNA
Source: RNAcentral
GAUGAACGCUAGCGGCAGGCCUAAUACAUGCAAGUCGAACGAUAGUAUUAAGCUUGCUUAAUAUGAAAGUGGCGCACGGGUGCGUAACGCGUAUGAAACCUACCUUAAUCAGGGGGAUAGCCUUUCGAAAGAAAGAUUAAUACCGCAUAAUAUCACGAUGGGGCAUCCUGUUGUGAUCAAAUAUUUAUAGGAUUAAGAUGGUCAUGCGUGACAUUAGCUAGUUGGAGAGGUAAUGGCUCACCAAGGCGACGAUGUCUAGGGGAUCUGAGAGGAUGGCCCCCCACACUGGUACUGAGACACGGACCAGACUCCUACGGGAGGCAGCAGUAAGGAAUAUUGGUCAAUGGGCGGAAGCCUGAACCAGCCAUGCCGCGUGCAGGAAGACGGCCCUACGGGUUGUAAACUGCUUUUAUUCGGGAAUAAAUCUUUCUACGUGUAGGGAGUUGAAUGUACUGAAAGAAUAAGGAUCGGCUAACUCCGUGCCAGCAG